UCCGAGUUGACCCCGGCAGUCUCCCAUGAGUCCCCACCAUAACGUGCUGGCAACAUGGAAUAAGGGUUGCGCUCGUUGCGGGACUUAACCCAACAUCUCACGACACGAGCUGACGACAACCAUGCACCACCUGUCACAAGCCCCGAAGGACCCCGUAUCUCUACGAGUUUUCAAGUGAUGUCAAGCCCAGGUAAGGUUCUUCGCGUUGCAUCGAAUUAAGCCGCAUGCUCCGCCGCUUGUGCGGGCCCCCGUCAAUUCCUUUGAGUUUUAGCCUUGCGGCCGUACUCCCCAGGCGGGGCGCUUAAUGCGUUAGCUACGGCACAGGAACCGUGAACCAGUCCCCACACCUAGCGCCCAACGUUUACAGCGUGGACUAC
Molecule: unclassified non-coding RNA, 377 nt
Filed under: uncultured Actinomycetes bacterium
Lineage: Bacteria; Bacillati; Actinomycetota; Actinomycetes
Description: uncultured actinobacterium contains 16S-23S intergenic spacer region
Source: RNAcentral